CGAGCGUAAUCGGAAUUACUGGGCGUAAAGACGACGCGUAGGCGGUUAGUUUAAGUGAGGUGUGAAAUACCCUGGGCUCAACCUAGGAACCUAGCAUUUCAAACUGGAUAACUUGAGUAUGUCAGAGGGUAUUGGAAGUUUCCCCGUGUAGCAGUGAAAUGCGUAGAUAUGGGAAGGAACAUCAGUGGCGAAGGCGAAUACCUGGGAUAAUACUGACGCUGAGGUGCGAAAGCGUGGGGGAGCAAACGGGAUUAGAUACCCCUGGUAG
This 268-nucleotide ribosomal RNA is filed under the name uncultured bacterium. Its description in RNAcentral is "partial 16S ribosomal RNA". It matches the Rfam family "Bacterial small subunit ribosomal RNA", at positions 535 to 793 of the family's 1533-position model. The record is from RNAcentral.